This 2257-nucleotide ribosomal RNA is filed under the name Gasterophilus intestinalis. Its description in RNAcentral is "eukaryotic LSU rRNA". It matches the Rfam family "Eukaryotic large subunit ribosomal RNA", at positions 44 to 1917 of the family's 3401-position model. Lineage: Eukaryota; Metazoa; Arthropoda; Insecta; Diptera; Oestridae. The record is from RNAcentral.
UAAUGAGGGGAGGAAAAGAAACUAACAAGGAUUUCCCCAGUAGCGGCGAGCGAAAAGGAAAUAGUUCAGCACUAAGUCACUUUGUUAUUAAUAACAAAUGUGAGAUGCAGUGUAUGGAAUAUCUAAUUCUAAUAUGAGAAAUUAACGAUUUAAGUCCUUCUUAAAUGAGGCCAUUUACCCAGAGAGGGUGCCAGGCCCGUAUAACGUUAAUGAUUAUUAGAAGAUAUUUCCAAAGAGUCGUGUUGCUUGAUAGUGCAGCACUAAGUGGGUGGUAAACUCCAUCUAAAACUAAAUAUAACCAUGAGACCGAUAGUAAACAAGUACCGUGAGGGAAAGUUGAAAAGAACUCUGAAUAGAGAGUUAAAUAGUACGUGAAACUGCUUAGAGGUUAAGCCCGAUGAACCUGAAUAUCCAUUAUGGAAAAUUCAUCAUUAUUGAUUAUUAUAAUUAUUAAUUAUUAUAUUAAUAAUGUGCAUUUUUUCCAUAUAAGGACAUUGUAAUCUAUUAACAUCAAUAUAUAUAUUUAUCAAAAAAUUAUAUAACAAUAAGUUUAUUUAAAUUAUUUUGCAUUUGUGCAAUUUAACAUAAAAUAAAAUGUUUAAUAAUUUGAUAAAGUGUUGAUAGAUUUAUUAUAAAUAUAGUGCUUUAAAUAUAUAUAUAUAUAUAUUUUAUAAUAAACAUAUUUAAUCAUUGAUUUUUAUGUUUAAUUAUAUGCACUUAUAUGAUUAACAAUGCGAAAGAUUCAGGAUACCUUCGGGACCCGUCUUGAAACACGGACCAAGGAGUCUAACAUAUGUGCAAGUCAUUGAGUAAAAUUAAUUAAAACUUAAUGGCAGAAUUAACAUGACUUUUAUAUUUAUUUAUUUUUUAUAAAUAAAUAUGGGAUUAAUUUUUUAGAAUUAUUUAUUUAAUAAAUAAAAUCUAUUUAAUUCAAUCCCGGGGCGUUCUAUACAGUUAUGUAUAAUAAUAUUUAUUUAUUAUUUAUACCUCUAACUAGAACGUACCUUGAGCAUAUAUGCUGUGACCCGAAAGAUGGUGAACUAUACUUGAUCAGGUUGAAGUCAGGGGAAACCCUGAUGGAAGACCGAAACAGUUCUGACGUGCAAAUCGAUUGUCAGAAUUGAGUAUAGGGGCGAAAGACCAAUCGAACCAUCUAGUAGCUGGUUCCCUCCGAAGUUUCCCUCAGGAUAGCUGGUGCAUUUAAAAAUUAUUUAAAAUAAUCUUAUCUGGUAAAGCGAAUGAUUAGAGGCCUUAGGGUCGAAACGACCUUAACCUAUUCUCAAACUUUAAAUGGGUAAGAACCUCACCUUUCUUGGUAUGAAGGUUGUGGUUGUGAUAUAAUGUGCCCAGUGGGCCACUUUUGGUAAGCAGAACUGGCGCUGUGGGAUGAACCAAACGUAAUGUUACGGUGCCCAAAUUAACAACUCAUACAGAUACCAUGAAAGGCGUUGGUUGCUUAAAACAGCAGGACGGUGGACAUGGAAGUCGUAAUCCGCUAAGGAGUGUGUAACAACUCACCUGCCGAAGCAACUAGCCCUUAAAAUGGAUGGCGCUUAAGUUGUAUACCUAUACAUUACCGCUAAAGUAAAUGGUUUUAUAUUCAAUUGAAUUUUAUAACUUUGAAACUUUAGUGAGUAGGAGGGUACAAUGAUGUGCUUUGAAGUGUUUGGCGUAAGCCUGCAUGGAGCCGUUAUUGGUACAGAUCUUGGUGGUAGUAGCAAAUAAUCGAAUGAGACCUUGGAGGACUGAAGUGGAGAAGGGUUUCGUGUGAACAGUGGUUGAUCACGAGUUAGUCGGUCCUAAGUUCAAGGCGAAAGCUGAAAAUUUUCAAGUUAAUAAAUAUAUAUAUUGAAAUUAAUAAUUAAAUAUAUUUAAUUAUGAAAUACUUGAAAUAUUUUUGAACGAAAGGGAAUACGGUUACAAUUCCGUAACCUGUUGAGUAUCCGUUUGUUAUUAAAUAUGGGCCUUGUGCUCAUCCUGGUAACAGGAACGACCAUAAAGAAGCCGUCGAGAGAUAUCGGAAGAGUUUUCUUUUCUGUUUUAUAGUCGUAUUACCAUGGAAGUCUUUUGAAGAGAGAUAUGGUAAAUGGACUAGAAGAGCAUGACAUUUACUGUUGUGUCGAUAUUUUCUCCUCGGACCUUGAAAAUUUAUGGUGGGGUCACGCAAACUUCUCAACAGGCCGUACCAAUAUCCGCAGCUGGUCUCCAAGGUGAAGAGUCUCUAGUCGAUAGAAUAAUGUAGGUAGGGAAAAGUCGA